This 253-nucleotide ribosomal RNA is filed under the name uncultured bacterium. RNAcentral describes it as "partial 16S ribosomal RNA". It matches the Rfam family "Bacterial small subunit ribosomal RNA", at positions 524 to 776 of the family's 1533-position model. The record is from RNAcentral.
UACGUAGGGGGCUAGCGUUGUCCGGAAUCACUGGGCGUAAAGCGAGCGCAGGCGGUUCCUUAAGUCUGAUGUGAAAGCCCCCGGCUCAACCGGGGAAGGUCAUUGGAAACUGGGGAACUUGAGUGCAGAAGAGGAGAGUGGAAUUCCAUGUGUAGCGGUGAAAUGCGUGGAUAUAUGGAGGAACACCGGUGGCGAAAGCGGCUCUCUAGUCUGUAACUGACGCUGAGGCUCGAAAGCGUGGGGAGCGAACAGG